Molecule: ribosomal RNA, 253 nt
Filed under: uncultured bacterium
Lineage: Bacteria
Description: partial 16S ribosomal RNA
Rfam family: Bacterial small subunit ribosomal RNA
Source: RNAcentral
GACGAACCGUGCGAACGUUGUUCGGAAUCACUGGGCUUAAAGGGCGCGUAGGCGGCUUGCCAAGUCAGUGGUGAAAUCCCACAGCUUAACUGUGGAAGUGCCUUUGAUACUGGCGAGCUCGAGGGAGGUAGGGGUAUGUGGAACUUCUGGUGGAGCGGCGAAAUGCGUUGAUAUCAGAAGGAACGCCGGUGGCGAAAGCGACGUACUGGACCUCUUCUGACGCUGAGGCGCGAAAGCUAGGGGAGCAAACGGG